GCCGUCUUAGCUCCGUGGUAGAGCAAUUGGCUUUUAACCACGUGGUCGUGGGUUUGAUCCCCACACACGGCG
Molecule: transfer RNA, 72 nt
Filed under: Macleaya cordata
Lineage: Eukaryota; Viridiplantae; Streptophyta; Magnoliopsida; Ranunculales; Papaveraceae
Rfam family: tRNA
About the family: Transfer RNA (tRNA) molecules are approximately 80 nucleotides in length. Their secondary structure includes four short double-helical elements and three loops (D, anti-codon, and T loops).
Source: Rfam by way of RNAcentral